Molecule: ribosomal RNA, 475 nt
Filed under: uncultured bacterium
Lineage: Bacteria
Description: SSU rRNA
Rfam family: Bacterial small subunit ribosomal RNA
Source: RNAcentral
AGGACGAACGCUGGCGGCGUGCUUAACACAUGCAAGUCGAGCGGAAAGGCCCUUCGGGGUACUCGAGCGGCGAACGGGUGAGUAACACGUGAGCAAUCUGCCUUUAGCUCUGGGAUAGCUCCGGGAAAACCGGGAUUAAUACCGGAUAAGACCACUUUAGACAUCUGUUGUGGUGGAAAGAAUUUCGGCUAGAGAUGAGCUCGCGGCCUAUCAGCUUGUUGGUGGGGUAACGGCCCACCAAGGCGACGACGGGUAGCCGGCCUGAGAGGGCGACCGGCCACACUGGGACUGAGACACGGCCCAGACUCCUACGGGAGGCAGCAGUGGGGAAUAUUGCGCAAUGGGCGAAAGCCUGACGCAGCGACGCCGCGUGGGGGAUGAAGGCCUUCGGGUUGUAAACCCCUUUCAGCAGGGACGAAGCGAAAGUGACGGUACCUGCAGAAGAAGCGCCGGCUAACUACGCGCCAGCAGCCGC